UCUUGCCGCUUUCUUGGACGUUUCCUCCCUAAACUUGGCGGCGCGCAAGCGCCGCCUUUUCUUUUUCGGCG
This 71-nucleotide small RNA is filed under the name Acidisphaera rubrifaciens HS-AP3. RNAcentral's name for it is "Makes More Granules Regulator RNA (mmgR)". It matches the Rfam family "Makes More Granules Regulator RNA (mmgR)". Rfam says of the family: SuhB later renamed mmgR (makes more granules regulator) was a putative non-coding RNA found multiple times in the Agrobacterium tumefaciens genome and related alpha-proteobacteria. Lineage: Bacteria; Pseudomonadati; Pseudomonadota; Alphaproteobacteria; Acetobacterales; Acetobacteraceae. The record is from Rfam by way of RNAcentral.